Molecule: Y RNA, 97 nt
Organism: Catagonus wagneri (Chacoan peccary)
Lineage: Eukaryota; Metazoa; Chordata; Mammalia; Artiodactyla; Tayassuidae
Rfam family: Y RNA
About the family: Y RNAs are components of the Ro ribonucleoprotein particle (Ro RNP), in association with Ro60 and La proteins. The Y RNAs and Ro60 and La proteins are well conserved, but the function of the Ro RNP is not known. In humans the RNA component can be one of four small RNAs -- hY1, hY3, hY4 and hY5.
Source: Ensembl
GGCUGGUCCGAUGGUAGUGGGUUAUCGGAACUUAUUAACCUUAGUGUCACUAAAGUUGGUAUACAACCCCCCCACUGCUAAAUUUGACUGGCUUUAA